AGAAAGAUAAGCUAAUUUAAGCUAUUAGGUUCAUACCCUGCUUAUAGAAGUAAAAUCUUCUUCUUUCUA
RNAcentral lists this transfer RNA (69 nucleotides) under Myrmus lateralis. RNAcentral's name for it is "tRNA-Met". Lineage: Eukaryota; Metazoa; Arthropoda; Insecta; Hemiptera; Rhopalidae. The record is from RNAcentral.